AUUGAACGCUGGCGGCAGGCCUAACACAUGCAAGUCGAACGAGUGGCGGACGGGUGAGUAAUGUCUGGGAAACUGCCUGAUGGAGGGGGAUAACUACUGGAAACGGUAGCUAAUACCGCAUACCAUCAGAUGUGCCCAGAUGGGAUUAGCUUGUUGGUGGGGUAACGGCUCACCAAGGCGACGAUCCUUAGCUGGUCUGAGAGGAUGACCAGCCACAUGGGAAUUGAGACACGGUCCAGACGCCUACGGGAGGAAGCAGUGGGGAAUAUUGCACAAUGGGCGCAAGCAGGAGACAGCCAUGCGGCGUGUAGGAAGAAGGUCUUCGGGUUGUAAAGCACUUUACGGGGGGAGGCGUUACCCGCAGAAGAAGCACAGGCUAACCCCGUGCCAGAAGCCGCGGUAAUUC
This 406-nucleotide ribosomal RNA is filed under the name uncultured bacterium. RNAcentral describes it as "partial 16S ribosomal RNA". It matches the Rfam family "Bacterial small subunit ribosomal RNA", at positions 29 to 526 of the family's 1533-position model. The record is from RNAcentral.